AGCCCAGAGCCUGAAUCAGUGUGUGUGUUAGUGGAAGCGUCUGGAAAGGCGCGCGAUACAGGGUGACAGCCCCGUACACAAAAAUGCACAUGCUGUGAGCUCGAUGAGUAGGGCGGGACACGUGGUAUCCUGUCUGAAUAUGGGGGGACCAUCCUCCAAGGCUAAAUACUCCUGACUGACCGAUAGUGAACCAGUACCGUGAGGGAAAGGCGAAAAGAACCCCGGCGAGGGGAGUGAAAAAGAACCUGAAACCGUGUACGUACAAGCAGUGGGAGCACGCUUAGGCGUGUGACUGCGUACCUUUUGUAUAAUGGGUCAGCGACUUAUAUUCUGUAGCAAGGUUAACCGAAUAGGGGAGCCGAAGGGAAACCGAGUCUUAACUGGGCGUUAAGUUGCAGGGUAUAGACCCGAAACCCGGUGAUCUAGCCAUGGGCAGGUUGAAGGUUGGGUAACACUAACUGGAGGACCGAACCGACUAAUGUUGAAAAAUUAGCGGAUGACUUGUGGCUGGGGGUGAAAGGCCAAUCAAACCGGGAGAUAGCUGGUUCUCCCCGAAAGCUAUUUAGGUAGCGCCUCGUGAAUUCAUCUCCGGGGGUAGAGCACUGUUUCGG
RNAcentral lists this ribosomal RNA (611 nucleotides) under Escherichia coli. RNAcentral describes it as "partial 23S ribosomal RNA". It matches the Rfam family "Bacterial large subunit ribosomal RNA", at positions 296 to 918 of the family's 2925-position model. The record is from RNAcentral. Lineage: Bacteria; Pseudomonadati; Pseudomonadota; Gammaproteobacteria; Enterobacterales; Enterobacteriaceae.